Molecule: ribosomal RNA, 497 nt
Filed under: uncultured bacterium
Lineage: Bacteria
Description: partial 16S ribosomal RNA
Rfam family: Bacterial small subunit ribosomal RNA
Source: RNAcentral
GAUGAACGCUGGCGGCAUGCCUAAUACAUGCAAGUCGAGCGAACAGACGAGGAGCUUGCUCCUCUGACGUUAGCGGCGGACGGGUGAGUAACACGUGGAUAACCUACCUAUAAGACUGGGAUAACUUCGGGAAACCGGAGCUAAUACCGGAUAAUAUAUUGAACCGCAUGGUUCAAUAGUGAAAGACGGUUUUGCUGUCACUUAUAGAUGGAUCCGCGCCGCAUUAGCUAGUUGGUAAGGUAACGGCUUACCAAGGCAACGAUGCGUAGCCGACCUGAGAGGGUGAUCGGCCACACUGGAACUGAGACACGGUCCAGACUCCUACGGGAGGCAGCAGUAGGGAAUCUUCCGCAAUGGGCGAAAGCCUGACGGAGCAACGCCGCGUGAGUGAUGAAGGUCUUCGGAUCGUAAAACUCUGUUAUUAGGGAAGAACAAAUGUGUAAGUAACUAUGCACGUCUUGACGGUACCUAAUCAGAAAGCCGCGGCUAACUACGUG